GGGGCACCGCGGGCGGGCUGCCGUGGGAUGGGCGGUCGGUGGCGGCGCUCCCCGACGCCGGGCGGCCGGCGGAGUCCUCCCGGCGCGAAUGCUUUCCCUUUCUGCAUGUCCUCUUUCUUGUAACCCAGACGUCAUUUUUUCAUUGCGAAGACGAAAUGCGCGGAACGUGAGCGGUCAUUUCGAGGGGCCGCACCUGGGGACGGAGCCCAAGCCCCCGCUCUGUUUGAAGAAUAGCCGCGUCUGUUUGCCACACUUCCGCGCCCUCGUUUUUUCGCCACCCUCCUCCUCUUCCUUCCCGCCGAGGGUGAUGAGAACUACAGGACUGAUUGCCUGAACUCCUGGGCCUUUCAUCCAAAACCCGAACCAAAGAGGGUUGAGGUCUUCUCAGGAGGCAGUUGGAAGGGGCAUGUUUGUUGGCAGUGUUUGAGGAAUUGUGGCAAGCAGAAGCGGUCACAGAACAACGGAUAGAAGCGAGUGUACUGCAGAAAGGGGGGAAAAUGGAUUCCAUAGACCACAAACGGCAUGUAUGUCUAUUGAUGACUUGGAAAGGAAAAUAGUGUCUAUGGUGACUUAAAGAUGAAGUUCAUGCCAAAUUAGAAUCAUUCAAAUAAGCACUUAUUGAGAAUGUACUAGUACUAUGUACCUACCAAGCAAGCUCUGUGCAAGGCUCUGAUGUAUGGAAAUGUGUGAGAUGCAGCCUCAGUCUCAAGAGUCAACUGUGAUGAUGAGAGAGAUGCCAAAGAUGACGAAAGUCAGCCCUCACUACGGUAUUGGACAGAGUUUUCUGUUAAAUCCCUGUGAACAAGAUGGAGGAAAGUAAGCUAAGAUGCUAUAGUUAGACGGCUUGAGUGUCCUUUGGUUCGUCGCAAUUUAAGUGUUGAUGAAGCUGGCUUUGAGCUCCUGAGCAGUAUUCAGAGGAUUGCUACUUGUCCACAUAGUCUGUACUGUCCUCCUUUGGACCUGUCCUUAACCUAUUUUCAUGAAAGAAAAAAAAAGUUAUUGACUGCCUAGAGGAAGAGGUACAUAGAAUAUUUAGCAGAUCUGCCAUGUGUUGCAAAACCAGCAGGAACAGAUAAUGUGAUAGGUGACAGAUUAGGACUUGUAAAUCUCCGUCAGCUACAAAAAUGGAGGAGUGCUAAAAAAAUGAAACGUAAAAUAAAUUGGGGAAAAUAGAGCAAACAGGCACUUCAGUACAUCAAUGAUGGUACAACCUCACCCACCCACUCUCCCACUGUGUGUUCUCAAACCAAGUUAGCAGUGUUUUUUCAAAAGCCUGUAAAACAUUCCAUCUUUAAACUAUUGUUAUUGUACUUGGCAAAUAAAUCCUAAGAAAAUAGCUACAAAUGACAAGUUCCAAACUACAGUGUGCUCAUGGCAAUAUUAUAUAUGAAAGCCAAAAAAAAAAAGUUGGAAACAACCUAAAUUCUAAAACCAAAGGGGAUGUUAAACAGUGGACUAUUCAUAGAGAAUAUUAUGCAGCCAUUAAAAAGCAUGAAUGGUCCAACAAAGCUUAUGAUACACUGUAAAUUUUUAACAUGAUACAAAAUUAUAUAUGCUGUUUUAUUGUAAUGAUGUAAACAAUAAAACACCUAAUAGAAAUAAAGAUUAACUGCCUCAAAACAUUAACAGUGGUAAACAUUAACAUUUUACUAGGGAGUUCUGUCCCAGCUCGCGAAACGAAUCCAACUAAUAUCCAUGAGGAUGUGGAUUCGAUCCCUGGUCUCAAUCAUUAGGUUAAGGAUCCAGCGCUGCCAUGAGCUGUGGUGUAGAUCAGCAGCUUCCAUUUGACCCCUAGCCUGGAAACUUCCAUAUGCCAUGAGCAUGGCCCUAAAAAGCAAAAACAAAACAAAACAUUUUGCUAAAGUGGUAAGAUGACAGUAGGUUCUUCCUGUUUUUUUCUUUACUUCCCAAAUUUGUAUCAUGAACCUAUAUUAUUUCUACAGUAGAAAAAUAAGCAUUAAAAUAUCACUGUACUUUAACCUUAAGCUUUUCAUUCUAAGGAGUGAGUACAUGGGUGCGUGUUAACUUUGUUCUCUGUAUGUUUGGUUUCAUUGUGUUUUCAAAUAAAUUAAUUUUGUGAA
This 2081-nucleotide long non-coding RNA is filed under the name Sus scrofa (pig). RNAcentral's name for it is "lncRNA (ENSSSCG00040021390.1)". Lineage: Eukaryota; Metazoa; Chordata; Mammalia; Artiodactyla; Suidae. The record is from RNAcentral.